This 1770-nucleotide ribosomal RNA is filed under the name Bubalus bubalis (water buffalo). RNAcentral's name for it is "bacterial LSU rRNA". It matches the Rfam family "Bacterial large subunit ribosomal RNA", at positions 251 to 2169 of the family's 2925-position model. Lineage: Eukaryota; Metazoa; Chordata; Mammalia; Artiodactyla; Bovidae. The record is from RNAcentral.
GAGCGAACGGGGAGCAGCCCAGAGUCUGAAUCAGCUUGUGUGUUAGUGGAAGCGUCUGGAAAGUCGCACGGUACAGGGUGACAGUCCCGUACACGAAAGCACACAGGUUGUGAACUCGAAGAGUAGGGCGGGACACGUGGUAUCCUGUCUGAAUAUGGGGGGACCAUCCUCCAAGGCUAAAUACUCCUGACUGACCGAUAGUGAACCAGUACCGUGAGGGAAAGGUGAAAAGCACCCCGACGAGGGGAGUGAAAUAGACCUGAAACCGGACACCUACAAACAGACGGAGCCCAAGAUGCGUUCUGGGUGACGUCGUACCUUUUGUAUUAUGGGCCAGCGACUUAAUUUAACGAGCAAGCUUAAGCCGAUAGGCGUAGGCGUAGCGAAAGCGAGUCUGAAUAGGGCGUCAAGUUCGUUGUAUUAGACCCGAAACCUAGUGAUCUAGCCAUGAGCAGGUUGAAGGUGAGGUAACACUCACUGGAGGACCGAACGGGUGCCUGUUGAAAAAGGCUCCGAUGACUUGUGGUUAGGGGUGAAAGGCCAAUCAAACUGGGAAAUAGCUGGUUCUCCGCGAAAGAUAUUUAGGUAUCGCCUCGGACGAAUACCUCAGGGGGUAGAGCACUGGAUGGGCUAGGGGGACUUACCGUCUUACCAAACCCAACCAAACUCCGAAUACCUGAGAGUACUAUCCGGGAGUCACACGGCGGGUGCUAACGUCCGUCGUGGAGAGGGAAACAACCCUGACCUACAGCUAAGGCCCCCAAUUCGUGGCUAAGUGGGAAAGGAUGUGGAAAUCCCAAAACAACCAGGAGGUUGGCUUAGAAGCAGCCAUCCUUUAAAGAAAGCGUAACAGCUCACUGGUCUAAAUAAGGGUUUCUGCGCCGAAGAUGUAACGGGGCUCAAGCCACGAGCCGAAGCUUAGGGUGCAUCGCAAGAUGCGCGGUAGCGGAGCGUUCUGUAAGCCUGCGAAGGGCGACCCGUGAGGGCGCCUGGAGGUAUCAGAAGUGCGAAUGCUGGCAUGAGUAACGACAAACACUGUGAAAGACAGUGUCGCCGAAAGUCCAAGGGUUCCUGCGUAAAGUUAAUCUUCGCAGGGUUAGCCGGUCCCUAAGGCGAGGCCGACAGGCGUAGUCGAUGGGAAUGCAGUGAAUAUUCUGCAGCCAGUGGAUGGUGACGAAUUGCGUAUGUUGUCUGACCUUACUGGAUUGGUCGGGCCUCGAAGCAGUUCCAGGAAAUAGCCUCCACAUUAGACCGUACCCGAAACCGACACAGGUGGACUGGUAGAGUAUACCAAGGCGCUUGAGAGAACUAUGUUGAAGGAACUCGGCAAUUUACCUCCGUAACUUCGGGAUAAGGAGGCCCAUUGCUCGCGCAAGCGGGCAGUGGGGGCACAGACCAGGGGGUGGCAACUGUUUAACAAAAACACAGGGCUCUGCGAAAUCGUAAGAUGACGUAUAGGGUCUGACGCCUGCCCGGUGCCGGAAGGUUAAGAGGAGAGGUGCAAGCCUUGAAUCGAAGCCCCGGUAAACGGCGGCCGUAACUAUAACGGUCCUAAGGUAGCGAAAUUCCUUGUCGGGUAAGUUCCGACCCGCACGAAAGGUGUCACGAUCUGGGCGCUGUCUCGACGGAGGCCUCGGCGAAAUUGAAGUGGCUGUGAAGAUGCGGCCACCCCGCAGCAGGACAAAAAGACCCCGUGGAGCUUUACUGCAGGUUGACAUUGAAUUUUGGGAUUAAAUGUACAGGAUAGGUGGGAGACAAAGAAGCAAGCUC